GAUGAACGCUAGCGACAGGCCUAACACAUGCAAGUCGAGGGGCAGCACAAGGAGCAAUCUGAGGUGGCGACCGGCGCACGGGUGAGUAACACGUAUGCAACCUGCCUUCAACAAGGGGAUAACCCGUUGAAAGACGGACUAAUACCCUAUAACACAGGGGUCCCGCAUGGGAAUAUUUGUUAAAGGACAACCGGUUGAAGAUGGGCAUGCGUUCCAUUAGCUAGUUGGCGGGGUAACGGCCCACCAAGGCAACGAUGGAUAGGGGAACUGAGAGGUUUAUCCCCCACACUGGUACUGAGACACGGACCAGACUCCUACGGGAGGCAGCAGUGAGGAAUAUUGGUCAAUGGGCGAGAGCCUGAACCAGCCAAGUCGCGUGCAGGAAGAAUGUCCUAUGGAUUGUAAACUGCUUUUGCAGGGGAAUAAAGUGAGCCACGUGUGGUUUUUUGUAUGUACUCUGCGAAUAAGGAUCGGCUAACUCCGUGCCAGCAGCCGCGGUAAAU
This 503-nucleotide ribosomal RNA is filed under the name uncultured bacterium. RNAcentral's name for it is "bacterial SSU rRNA". It matches the Rfam family "Bacterial small subunit ribosomal RNA", at positions 28 to 525 of the family's 1533-position model. The record is from RNAcentral.